UGGCUCAGAUUGAACGCUGGCGGCAGGCCUAACACAUGCAAGUCGAGCGGAUGAGAAGAGCUUGCUCUUCGAUUCAGCGGCGGACGGGUGAGUAAUGCCUAGGAAUCUGCCUGGUAGUGGGGGACAACGUUUCGAAAGGAACGCUAAUACCGCAUACGUCCUACGGGAGAAAGCAGGGGACCUUCGGGCCUUGCGCUAUCAGAUGAGCCUAGGUCGGAUUAGCUAGUUGGUGAGGUAAUGGCUCACCAAGGCUACGAUCCGUAACUGGUCUGAGAGGAUGAUCAGUCACACUGGAACUGAGACACGGUCCAGACUCCUACGGGAGGCAGCAGUGGGGAAUAUUGGACAAUGGGCGAAAGCCUGAUCCAGCCAUGCCGCGUGUGUGAAGAAGGUCUUAGGAUCGUAAAGCACUUUAAGUUGGGAGGAAGGGCAGUAACUUAAUACGUUGCUGUUUUGACGUUACCGACAGAAUAAGCACCGGCUAA
This 485-nucleotide ribosomal RNA is filed under the name Pseudomonas putida. RNAcentral describes it as "bacterial SSU rRNA". It matches the Rfam family "Bacterial small subunit ribosomal RNA", at positions 20 to 500 of the family's 1533-position model. The record is from RNAcentral. RNAcentral also lists the same sequence under 1 other name. Lineage: Bacteria; Pseudomonadati; Pseudomonadota; Gammaproteobacteria; Pseudomonadales; Pseudomonadaceae.